CGGACACCUCUUGCAACAGUUCCCCCACAGCUUCCACCAGGUCAUCCACAGACUCGAAGUCCGCACUGCCGCUGUGCAAGACGCCUAGGGCGGGCGUGGCAAGACGAGGAAAAUACCAGGAUUUCUGCGCAAGUCGCCAUGUUCCAGUUGGGAUCCCGUCCGCGCAGUCGCCGUGAGACCUCGGCCAAGGCCCGCCCCCUGCCCGUCCCCGAAAUCUCGCCCUUCCUUCCAAAGCGCAUGCGAAACGGUGACGUAAGAAAUGCGCAGAACCCGGUGGGCGGGGUGAACGGCGCUGGAGGAACGGUGCGCAAGCGCCGCUCAAGUCUACGCUGAGCCACACUCUCUGCGCUUGCGCAACCCUUUCCACUAAAAAAUUAGCCACA
Molecule: long non-coding RNA, 383 nt
Organism: Lagenorhynchus albirostris (white-beaked dolphin)
Lineage: Eukaryota; Metazoa; Chordata; Mammalia; Artiodactyla; Delphinidae
Exons: 2
Source: RefSeq, a predicted model, not a curated record